Brassica rapa (field mustard) is the source of this 1505-nucleotide long non-coding RNA. RefSeq lists it as uncharacterized. The record is from RefSeq and is a predicted model, not a curated record. Lineage: Eukaryota; Viridiplantae; Streptophyta; Magnoliopsida; Brassicales; Brassicaceae.
UCCGCGUUUCAUUAAAAAAAAAAGAGAAUUUGUGGGCUUUUUGGAUUGAGAAUUUGAUAAUCCAACCCAUUACCAGAAACCCUAUUCAUCCCUUCUCCGCCGCACCUCCGCCGUCACUUGCCAUCGUCUGCGCCGGGACAUAACACACAUCCGUCGUGUGCUUCACACAAGAACCUCUCUCCAACUGCGCGGUGAUGAGCACAACCUUAGCACCGCACGAUUUCGCGAUGGAGCAAAUCACAUCGACGGUGGAGAAUCCUCCGGGACUGGCUUAGGCAAUGAGGAGAUCGGGAGAUGAGAUCGGAGGCGUGGUCACGUCGGAGACUAAUUGAGAGGAGAGGCCGAGGUGGAGAGACGCAUCGCGAAGGCUUUCACUUUCAGCAUGAGGCCUUCUCGCCCGACGCCAUGGAAGAAGACGCGAGCGCUGCGGUGGGAGACUCCGGUGAGCUCCGUCAAGAGGAGAUCCAACGGUGGUGGGUAUGGAUCGGUGGGAUGACUAUUAUCGCCGUUGAGAUUCUGCCGUCAGUCUAUUGUUUGUCGGUUGCGUAUAUAAACACACAUGACCUGGUGAGAACGCUAUGCUUAUCCAAGGGUCAAUCAACGUGUACCGUUUUAACACCUUCAGUGAAGGCUCGGUUUAUGAGUAAGUGUUUUUGAUGUCGCCGGAAGCAAUCCGAACAUCAAGUUUGGUGAUGCGCCUGUCUCUACUAGGUUCACGGAACAUACCGUCUUCGUUGGGCUUGCGGAAACGAGAGAGCCGAUCCAUGGAAAGGUUUUGGUUCUGCAAUUACAACCACCUCAUGUUAUUUGCCAAGACCAACACUGGUUUUCCAUGUUUGAAUUGUUUACCAUAUAAUGAUUAUAUAUUUCACUGCCAAGUAGCCUUAAUAGUUGUUUUGGUUAGCAGUAUUAAAACGAUUUAGGGGCAUUAAAACGAUUUAAAAAGAAGAGACCCAGAGUACUCAACGUCUCAUGACAAUCACAAGGAGGCACUCGACAGUCUGCCUGAGUGUAUUUGACAACUAAAGGCGCUACUCUGAUGUAGAACUAAAAAUGGUUGUUGAAACAAAUAUAUACCCAAAGUUAGUUGGAGGCAGGCUGUUCAUCAACGCUUCUUUUGGUACUCAUUCAGAUCCAUAGAACAUUCCGGUCAGAUAUAAAGACCGAGAGACACCACUGGCUGGCCGAGUAUCAUGAGUGGAAAAAAGAGAGGUUCAAGAGAUACCAGUGAAGUAUAAAAAACCCGGAUGGUGACAGAUACAUACUGCAAACCAGAGAUUCUUUUGCAUCUUGCAGGGAGAUUGGUAAGGUAAUUGAAUAAGACAUGACUGUUCUUAUUUUUGGUUUACCAAUUUCAGGAACUUAUGAUCCUGAUUUCUGGAACUAGAUGGUUUCUUUUGUUUUCUUGCAAACCGAUAUUGUAAUAUAUUCUAGAGAACCACAGCGUUACAUGCUCAUUAGAAUAUAUACGAACAGACGGACGAGAAAGAAAGUGGUUCAAAUCA